Molecule: transfer RNA, 99 nt
Organism: Pseudomassariella vexata
Lineage: Eukaryota; Fungi; Ascomycota; Sordariomycetes; Amphisphaeriales; Pseudomassariaceae
Rfam family: tRNA
About the family: Transfer RNA (tRNA) molecules are approximately 80 nucleotides in length. Their secondary structure includes four short double-helical elements and three loops (D, anti-codon, and T loops).
Source: Rfam
GUCUUCGUGGCUCAGUUGGUUAGAGCGUUGGUCUCAUAAAAUGAUCCAAUCUCAGGUUGGGAUAUCCAAAGGUCGUGAGUUCGAGUCUCACCGAGGACA